Aphidius gifuensis is the source of this 400-nucleotide long non-coding RNA. RefSeq lists it as uncharacterized. The transcript has 3 exons. NCBI's taxonomy places the organism in Eukaryota, Metazoa, Arthropoda, Insecta, Hymenoptera, Braconidae. The record is from RefSeq and is a predicted model, not a curated record.
GCUCUGUUGUUACCAUUAACGGUACAAGUAAUUAGUAGUCAAUAUGGUGAGUUAAGGGUACCGAUCAUACCAGAUAGGGAGAGUGGCCGAAUAAUGACUUUGGAAAAUAUGCCCUUCAGAGAUGAGAUGUUUCUGAUAAGCUUGCUCUUUCUUGCCAAUUUAUUGGGUUAUAUUAGUGUGAUUAAGGGAUCGGUUCCGGGCUUGGGAUUUUAUUUAAUCGUCCGUAUGGUCGAGUUGCUGAUAUCUUGGUGUUGGGCGGUGAGUGUAGAUGCCGGACAAAUCAAGUCUCAUUAUCUGCCACAAUUUUUAUUAGAAUUGUUUUGCUAUUCUGCUUUCUUUAUCAGUUUGGCGUCUACAUUCGUAGUAAUUCAGCUGUUGGCACUAGUGUUAAAAAACAAGA